Molecule: unclassified non-coding RNA, 375 nt
Filed under: uncultured bacterium
Lineage: Bacteria
Description: contains 16S-23S intergenic spacer region
Source: RNAcentral
UCCGGUUUGCACCGGCAGUCUCGCAUGAGUCCCCGGCAUUACCCGCUGGCAACAUACGAUAAGGGUUGCGCUCGUUACCUGACUUAACAGGACAUCUCACGACACGAGCUGACGACAGCCAUGCACCACCUGUGCAGGUGCCCGAAGGAGGCCAUGUUUCCAUGGCUGUCACCUGCAUGUCAAGCCCAGGUAAGGUUCUUCGCGUUGCGUCGAAUUAAACCACAUGCUCCACUGCUUGUGCGCCUCCCCGUCAAUUCCUUUGAGUUUUAGCCUUGCGGCCGUACUCCCCAGGCGGGGCACUUAAUGCGUUAGCUGUCUCACGGCGAGAGUCGACACUCGCCACAAGUAGUGCCCAUCGUUUACGGCGUGGACUAC